RNAcentral lists this transfer RNA (67 nucleotides) under Marmota monax (woodchuck). Its description in RNAcentral is "tRNA.Ala". Lineage: Eukaryota; Metazoa; Chordata; Mammalia; Rodentia; Sciuridae. The record is from RNAcentral.
GGUUAUAGCUCAGUGGUAGAGCUCUUGCCUAGCACGUGUGAGGCACUGGGUUUGAUCCUCAGCACCA